AUCGGUGACAGGUGGUGCAUGGUUGUCGUCAGCUCGUGUCGUGAGAUGUUGGGUUAAGUCCCGCAACGAGCGCAACCCCUAUUGUUAGUUGCCAUCAUUCAGUUGGGCACUCUAGCGAGACUGCCGGUAAUAAACCGGAGGAAGGUGGGGAUGACGUCAAAUCAUCAUGCCCCUUAUGACCUGGGCUACACACGUGCUACAAUGGUUGGUACAACGAGUUGCGAGUCGGUGACGGCGAGCUAAUCUCUUAAGGCCAAUCUCAGUUCGGAUUGUAGGCUGCAACUCGCCUACAUGAAGUCGGAAUCGCUAGUAAUCGCGGAUCAGCACGCCGCGGUGAAUACGUUCCCGGGUCUU
Molecule: ribosomal RNA, 354 nt
Filed under: uncultured Streptococcus sp.
Lineage: Bacteria; Bacillati; Bacillota; Bacilli; Lactobacillales; Streptococcaceae
Description: bacterial SSU rRNA
Rfam family: Bacterial small subunit ribosomal RNA
Source: RNAcentral